Molecule: transfer RNA, 88 nt
Filed under: Defluviicoccus sp.
Lineage: Bacteria; Pseudomonadati; Pseudomonadota; Alphaproteobacteria; Rhodospirillales; Rhodospirillaceae
Description: tRNA-Ser
Rfam family: tRNA
About the family: Transfer RNA (tRNA) molecules are approximately 80 nucleotides in length. Their secondary structure includes four short double-helical elements and three loops (D, anti-codon, and T loops).
Source: RNAcentral
GGAGGGAUGGCCGAGCGGCUUAAGGCGCACGCCUGGAAAGUGUGUUCACCGAAAGGUGUCGUGGGUUCGAAUCCCACUCCCUCCGCCA